This 460-nucleotide ribosomal RNA is filed under the name uncultured bacterium. RNAcentral's name for it is "partial 16S ribosomal RNA". It matches the Rfam family "Bacterial small subunit ribosomal RNA", at positions 338 to 795 of the family's 1533-position model. The record is from RNAcentral.
CCUACGGGGGGCAGCAGUGAGGAAUAUUGGUCAAUGGACGAGAGUCUGAACCAGCCAAGUAGCGUGAAGGAUGACUGCCCUAUGGGUUGUAAACUUCUUUUAUAUGGGAAUAAAAUGUUCCACGUGUGGGAUUUUGUAUGUACCAUAUGAAUAAGGAUCGGCUAACUCCGUGCCAGCAGCCGCGGUAAUACGGAGGAUCCGAGCGUUAUCCGGAUUUAUUGGGUUUAAAGGGAGCGUAGGUGGAUUGUUAAGGCAGUUGUGAAAGUUUGCGGCUCAACCGUAAAAUUGCAGUUGAAACUGGCAGUCUUGAGUACAGUAGAGGUGGGCGGAAUUCGUGGUGUAGCGGUGAAAUGCUUAGAUAUCACGAAGAACUCAGAUUGCGAAGGCAGUUCACUGGACUGCAACUGACACUGAGGCUCGAAAGUGUGGGUAUCAAACAGGAUUAGAUACCCCUGUAGUC